RNAcentral lists this ribosomal RNA (429 nucleotides) under Chloroflexota bacterium. RNAcentral's name for it is "Chloroflexi bacterium partial 16S ribosomal RNA". It matches the Rfam family "Bacterial small subunit ribosomal RNA", at positions 355 to 776 of the family's 1533-position model. Lineage: Bacteria; Bacillati; Chloroflexota. The record is from RNAcentral.
UGGGGAAUAUUGCACAAUGGGCGCAAGCCUGAUGCAGCCAUGCCGCGUGUAUGAAGAAGGCCUUCGGGUUGUAAAGUACUUUCAGUCGGGAGGAAGGUGUCAAGGUUAAUAACCUUGGCAAUUGACGUUACCGACAGAAGAAGCACCGGCUAACUCCGUGCCAGCAGCCGCGGUAAUACGGAGGGUGCAAGCGUUAAUCGGAAUUACUGGGCGUAAAGCGCACGCAGGCGGUUGAUUGAGUCAGAUGUGAAAUCCCCGGGCUUAACCCGGGAAUUGCAUCUGAUACUGGUCAGCUAGAGUCUUGUAGAGGGGGGUAGGAUUCCAUGUGGAGCGGUGAAAUGCGUAGAAAUCUGGAGGAAUACCGGUGGCGAAGGCGGCCCCCUGGACGAAGACUGACGCUCAGGUGCGAAAGCGUGGGGAGCAAACAGG